GGGUCAGUAGGUUGGUCGUGCCUCCGGUACGUACUGGUCUCACUGAUUCCUCCUUCCUGAAGAACCGUAAUGCCAUUAAUUUGGUGUUGCGGGGAAACAGGACUGUUACUUUGAAAAAAUUAGGGUGUUUAAAGCAAGCUAACGCUUGAAUACAUUAGCAUGGAAUAAUGAAAUAGGACGAUCGAUCCUAUUUUGUUGGUUUCUAGGAUUGACGUA
RNAcentral lists this ribosomal RNA (216 nucleotides) under Glomeromycotina sp. Its description in RNAcentral is "partial small subunit ribosomal RNA". The stretch from base 40 to 216 matches the Rfam family "Eukaryotic small subunit ribosomal RNA", at positions 686 to 864 of the family's 1831-position model. The record is from RNAcentral. Lineage: Eukaryota; Fungi; Glomeromycota.